ACAGUUAAUUCAAGUAUGAACCCCAGCACCGAUCAUCGAUACUAAUCUAAUCCUGAAUUAUUCAGCUAGAUUGGACGUAUUACAGGUUACAGAUUUCUCCAAGUCUGACUUUUGUCUCAGCUACUGGUUUCCGACCGUUGGCUUCCUAUCAGCGUCUAUCGCUUUGUGGAUUCUUAUCAGCAUUGUGACUCUCGCAGCAACAGAGUAUUAACUGAUUCUAUAAUAUUAUACCUCCUGC
Pelobates cultripes (western spadefoot toad) is the source of this 238-nucleotide non-coding RNA. The record is from the annotation of a GenBank genome assembly. NCBI's taxonomy places the organism in Eukaryota, Metazoa, Chordata, Amphibia, Anura, Pelobatidae.